This 1553-nucleotide long non-coding RNA is filed under the name Anas platyrhynchos platyrhynchos (common mallard). RNAcentral's name for it is "lncRNA (ENSAPLG00000019821.1)". The record is from RNAcentral. Lineage: Eukaryota; Metazoa; Chordata; Aves; Anseriformes; Anatidae.
AUGACCCCUCUAAGCAAAGCUCUCUCUGCCCCAUGCUGCAGGUACUGGCGUGACCACUCAGGACAUCUGCAGCUCUCCAGGAUUUCGGGAGCAUGGAGGUGGGUCCCAAAAAUGAACGUGUCUUGUGGAAAGAGAUGGGAAGAGAGAAGCGAAUUAUUACCUCAUGGUUCCCCCUGUGAAGCCCUGGGAGAGCAGAUUUUUCCAGCCUUGGCAUGCAGUUGGUUUUGCCACCUGGCCAUCACUAAUGCUUGCCUGGGGAAUCCCUCUGCCUUCUCUCCAGGUAACAACCAGGCUCCAGUCCUGUACCUCAAUGCUUCCAGUGCCCAGGAGGGGGAAAUAGUGCUGCUUCAAUGUACCCUUGAUGAGCAGUUUCCUCCUACACGAGUUGUCUUCUGCAAGAAUGGGCUGGAGGAGUUCAGCCUGAAAGCCCAGCAGGGCAGGCUCAUCUACACUCUGGUCCUGAACAUCACCUCCAGAAGUGCUGGGACGUACACGUGUGGGUACCAGCAAAAGAACAAGGAAAACUGGGUGAGGAGCUCUGCUCUCAGUGCUCCCCGGACCUUGUCUGUGGCAGGUGCAGGUGCUGGUGAGACCACCACUGAUAUCCACAGCUCCAUAGGUGAGGACAAGUGUUAGGGGAUGCCAGCUGCACAGGCACAUCCUGCUCCCUGCCUCUCCCCAUCACACCCCUCUGCCCUCACACACUCUCUCCCCCAGCUCCACAUGCCUGGAUCCGACACACUUUCCCCACAGGCACGGUGCUGGCAGUGGCAGCCGUCGGCCUCGUCCUCCUGGCUGCAGGCAGCUGGUUUGCAAUCAGGAAAGGUGAGGAAGUGGGGGAAAGCGGGGGGAAAGGCUGAGGCCGUGGGGGUCCUCUUGGGGCUGGUGCAGUGGGAAAGGUGGUUGGGGGAACGUGGGGGUGCACAGCUGGGGCAGACGGUGCCUGGGGGUGAUGGCUGUGGGCAGCCCAGCUGGGGAGGCUGCUGAGGGAGCUGGGGAGUUUCAGCCUUCAUCCCCCAGCCCCGAGAUGGGAGCCAGGGCUGGGCAGCACCUUGGCCUGUGCACCUCAGCCCCUGUUCUUCUUGCAGGUGCCUGCAGAGGGAGAUGCCCAAGGUGAGCACCAAGGGCUGCUGGCUGUGGGGUAUGCGGGAGGGAGUUGGGGGAAUGAAAGGUCCCUGGGGUGCUCCUUGUUCAGGGGCAUUCCCUGUGCAGAAGGCAGGAAGGAUGGGGCUUGUCUUUGCCUGCCCUCCAGUUCAAUGAAAAAUGCAGGAAAGCAACACCAAAGGGCAUGAGCCUCAAGAUCCCUCCUCAGCACAUGCACAUCCCAGAACCAUUCCAUUCCUCUCCAGGCAGCAGCACGUUGACAGCCCACAGACGGAAGACACCAACUAUGGUGACAUCCAGUGUGAGUACUACCUCCUCCCUUGGGGGAAGCCACAUGCUCCUCUCCCCAUGAGAAUCUUCUGCAAGUCCUCAUGGAAUCCUACCACUUCAUUUCCCACUGGGAAUAACAAAAUCCCUGCUCAUUCAUCAAGGCCAGGUUUCUCUCCAGC